UUGCAGUUUAUAACACUUCCGCAUGGGCUUCAUAGUUUGAGGCCGGAGGUUGCCACUUGGAUCGGACAUCCAUUUAUUUAUUUUUUACAGUCUAUGGCACGGACAAGGAGAGAGAACACAGCAAGUAGUAAUUCUGUGUACAUGUGGAUGUUUGUGUGGUACAAAGAAAGACUUGAAAAAAACGUGAAUCUAUACUCUUUAAUGUUUUGUAUUUGGAGAUCGCCUCAAAGAAGAUAAUUUGACUCCACUUAUGAACACACCUUUCUGCAAAAAGCUCCUCAUGCUUCAUGUUUUCCAUGCUGUAAGCAAUAUGCAUAAUCCUGAGAACAUUUCGUGUCGUCUUGGCGUUUUCUAUGCAGUAAACUCACAGUAUUGUAACUUCUUUGUCUUAAGUACAGCUCCAAGGCAGGUUGGCAGAUGCAGUCAUUUUUACAAUGAUGUCUGGUAAUAGGGUUCUUUGAAUAGGAAAUUCACCAGUAAUUUUUUUCAUUGUAUGUUUUGCUUUGUAGUUUUUGCUCGGUGGUCAAAAUCCUCCUCCCUGGAUCCCCUUGUUUCUAAUGAUGCCACACAUUCGGAGCCAAAUCACUCAAGACGAGUGUCAAUCAAUCUUUGAUAUGUUUGUCCUGUUUUUAUUUUUGGUCCCUAAGCCACUUCAGCAUUGUAUACUAGGUCAACAUGCAUUUGGGCUUUCCAUGGUGCAAGCAGUGCCACCUGUGACUUUACCUCCUGGUUAUCCUCACAGCAAAGACCAUCCUGUGCUACCAUGAGCCUAUUUCUGCUCUGAGCAGUGUGUGCUGCCACGUCUAACAGGAAAUUUACCACAAAGAUGUAUAAUGAAUCCUCUUCACAUCACUGAUAGUCUGUUGCUAUCUGUUCCGUUACAAUUGAAUACCCUUUUUUUCUGCUUGUACUUACCUUUAAAACCCCUGUUUUUUUCCAACGUGUGGAAGUGAAGUAAAUGGAAGCUCUUCUCUGCACUUUUUUUACAAGAUGAUGCCAAGAGUGUCUGCAACAGAGGGCAGUCCAUGAAGCCCACACACAGACAGCCAGACACGCACACAUCGGUUCUUUAACUGUUGCACAAGAUCAGUAGUUUUUUUUUUUUAUCCCUUGCAUUAAUGGAUUGUGUUUGGUGUCUUGUACUUUAUCCGGAGAGUCGGUUUGAAUAAAUGGAGACAGACAAGCUGCAUAAAUCAGAUAGCUUUCCAUUCAGAGUAAUGUAAUGGUUUGUUUUGUGACGUUGACAGUGGGGAUUUUUUUUAUUUUUUUUACUGUGUGAACUUCUUCCUGUUGUUUGAUCCAAAAGGUGAACUUAGGACGGUUUUUGGUGUUGCUGAUGUCAUACUAAAUCAGGAGAAAGAGAACGGUUAAGAGUUUUAAAGAUGUCUGCGUAUUUUCAGAUUUGACGUACUUUUUGGCACACUGCUUUUUAUGUGACGUGAAACACUUUUUAAAACAAAACAAAAAACAGCAUCUUUUUUUUUUUUUAAACAUGCCUAAAUCUGCAAAAUAUAUGCAAUGAUGUAAAUGUAACAUUCAAUCCUCAAGUAUAAUCCAGGUUGUAUGGACUUUGUAUAGUGAGUUUUAAUAUCGUAUGGCCGUACCAAUAUGUAUUGAUCUUUAUCAGAAGCCUUAGAGUUGUCGACCGAAAGUGCUCCCUUAGAAUACCCUACACCUACCUGACUUUAACAAAGCAUUAAUAUCUCUAUUUUGUUGCAUUCUUAUUUGUACCGUUUUUGGAUAAAAUAGAUUUGUACUGUAUAUUUGUACCUCUCUGUGAACUACUUAGGGCGGUUUUUGUUUUUUGUUUUGUUUCUCUUUUGUUUGUUUUGUUUUGCUGUUUUAAUUCUAUGUACUUUAAGGACACAAAGAUAUUGUAUUUUUAUUGUUACAGCUAACUUGGAGACAUUGCAUUUAUCAUGUUUGUUAAGUAAACACAAUAUAAUAUAUAAAUAUAUAUAUACAAAUAUAAAUAUAAACUAUUAUCCAA
Molecule: long non-coding RNA, 1990 nt
Organism: Notolabrus celidotus (New Zealand spotty)
Lineage: Eukaryota; Metazoa; Chordata; Actinopteri; Labriformes; Labridae
Exons: 2
Source: RefSeq, a predicted model, not a curated record